ACCGUACUCCUACGGGAGGCAGCAGUGGGGAAUAUUGGACAAUGGGCGAAAGCCUGAUCCGGCAAUGCCGCGUGAGUGAAGAAGGCCUUCGGGUUGUAAAGCUCUUUUGUCAGGGAAGAAACGGUAGUAGCUAAUAUCUAUUACUAAUGACGGUACCUGAAGAAUAAGCACCGGCUAACUACGUGCCAGCAGCCGCGGUAAUACGUAGGGUGCAAGCGUUAAUCGGAAUUACUGGGCGUAAAGCGUGCGCAGGCGGUUGUGUAAGUCAGAUGUGAAAUCCCCGGGCUCAACCUGGGAAUUGCAUUUGAGACUGCACGGCUAGAGUGUGUCAGAGGGGGGUAGAAUUCCACGUGUAGCAGUGAAAUGCGUAGACAUGUGGAGGAAUACCGAUGGCGAAGGCAGCCCCCUGGGAUAACACUGACGCUCAUGCACGAAAGCGUGGGGAGCAAACAGGAUUAGAAACCCGUGUAGUCCUUGAC
This 479-nucleotide ribosomal RNA is filed under the name uncultured bacterium. Its description in RNAcentral is "bacterial SSU rRNA". It matches the Rfam family "Bacterial small subunit ribosomal RNA", at positions 330 to 801 of the family's 1533-position model. The record is from RNAcentral.